CAUGCAAGUCGAACGCAUUGUGGUUGAAAUGAUAUGAAGAACUUGUUCAGAUUUGAUUUUCAACAUUGCAAUGAGUGGCGAACGGGUGAGUAACACGUGGGAAACCUACUCUUAGCAGGGGAUAACAUUUGGAAACAAAUGCUAAUACCGUAUAACAAUUAAAACCGCAUGGUUUUAGUUUAAAAGAUGGUCUUGCUAUCACUAAGAGAUGGUCCCGCGGUGUAUUAGUUAGUUGGUGAGGUAAUGGCUCACCAAGACAAUGAUACAUAGCCGAGUUGAGAGACUGACCGGCCACAAUGGGACUGAGACACGGCCCAUACUCCUACGGGAGGCAGCAGUAGGGAAUCUUCCACAAUGGACGAAAGUCUGAUGGAGCAACGCCGCGUGUGUGAUGAAGGGUUUCGGCUCGUAAAACACUGUUGUAAGAGAAGAAUGACAUUGAGAGUAACUGUUCAAUGUGUGACGGUAUCUUACCGGAAAGGAACGGCUAAAUACGUG
RNAcentral lists this ribosomal RNA (498 nucleotides) under uncultured bacterium. RNAcentral's name for it is "bacterial SSU rRNA". It matches the Rfam family "Bacterial small subunit ribosomal RNA", at positions 54 to 507 of the family's 1533-position model. The record is from RNAcentral.